GGGCCCAUGGCGCAACGGCUAGCGCGCCUGAUUUGCAUUCAGGAGGUUAAGGGUUCAAAUCCCUUUGGGUCCA
Molecule: transfer RNA, 73 nt
Filed under: Pseudomonadota bacterium
Lineage: Bacteria; Pseudomonadati; Pseudomonadota
Description: tRNA-Ala
Rfam family: tRNA
About the family: Transfer RNA (tRNA) molecules are approximately 80 nucleotides in length.
Source: RNAcentral